RNAcentral lists this non-coding RNA (60 nucleotides) under unclassified sequences. Its description in RNAcentral is "msiK RNA". It matches the Rfam family "msiK RNA". The record is from RNAcentral.
GCUGGCGCCUUUAUCCAACGGAUCGUCGGGCUCGUACCUGCCCGGUUAAGGGAGUUACUU